UCGUAACAAGGUUUCCGUAGGUGAACCUGCGGAAGGAUCAUUACUGAGUGCGGGCUGCCUCCGGGCGCCCAACCUCCCACCCGUGAAUACCUAACACUGUUGCUUCGGCGGGGAGCUCCCUCGGGGGCGAGCCGCCGGGGACUACUGAACUUCAUGCCUGAGAGUGAUGCAGUCUGAGUCUGAAUAUAAAAUCAGUCAAAACUUUCAACAAUGGAUCUCUUGGUUCCGGCAUCGAUGAAGAACGCAGCGAACUGCGAUAAGUAAUGUGAAUUGCAGAAUUCAGUGAAUCAUCGAGUCUUUGAACGCACAUUGCGCCCCCUGGCAUUCCGGGGGGCAUGCCUGUCCGAGCGUCAUUGCUGCCCAUCAAGCCCGGCUUGUGUGUUGGGUCGUCGUCCCCCCCGGGGGACGGGCCCGAAAGGCAGCGGCGGCACCGUGUCCGGUCCUCGAGCGUAUGGGGCUUUAUCACCCGCUCGACUAGGGCCGGCCGGGCGCCAGCCGACGUCUCCAACCAUUUUUCUUCAGGUUGACCUCGGAUCAGGUAGGGAUACCCGCUGAACUUAAGCAUAUCAAUAAGCGGAGGAAAA
RNAcentral lists this unclassified non-coding RNA (584 nucleotides) under Aspergillus sydowii. Its description in RNAcentral is "sequence contains ITS1, 5.8S rRNA gene, ITS2". The stretch from base 200 to 353 matches the Rfam family "5.8S ribosomal RNA". Lineage: Eukaryota; Fungi; Ascomycota; Eurotiomycetes; Eurotiales; Aspergillaceae. The record is from RNAcentral.